This is a small nuclear RNA of Chrysolophus pictus (golden pheasant), 60 nucleotides long. Its record names the gene U7. It matches the Rfam family "U7 small nuclear RNA". From Rfam's summary of the family: Animal histone pre-mRNAs are spliced by a different mechanism than nuclear pre-mRNAs and self-splicing introns. The record is from Ensembl. NCBI's taxonomy places the organism in Eukaryota, Metazoa, Chordata, Aves, Galliformes, Phasianidae.
AAGUGAUUUCAGCUCUUUCAGUAUUUGUCUAGCAGGUGCUCCAACCCGUGAAAAGCCCCU